GUUUAAAUAGUUUAUUUAGAAUAGCAGUUUGUGGAAUUGCAGGUGUUUAAUAAAACUUUAGACC
Molecule: transfer RNA, 64 nt
Filed under: Sclomina erinacea
Lineage: Eukaryota; Metazoa; Arthropoda; Insecta; Hemiptera; Reduviidae
Description: tRNA-His
Source: RNAcentral